Long non-coding RNA from Zerene cesonia (dogface butterfly), 1499 nucleotides. RefSeq lists it as uncharacterized. The record is from RefSeq and is a predicted model, not a curated record. The transcript is spliced from 6 exons. NCBI's taxonomy places the organism in Eukaryota, Metazoa, Arthropoda, Insecta, Lepidoptera, Pieridae.
UGAAUGUAAAUGUAAACAUAUGGUUUUGAAAUUUAAAGAAAAUAUGGUUCACGUCACCGAUUUUGUUAAUUACAAAAGGUGCAUAAAUUACUUCUUAUUAUAUUCAGUCUUGCAAGGUGUGCGGGUAUUUGUGGUGGCCAAAUCGCAAUUUGUUGAUUGUGGUGAUAAACUUACGGCUAGCUAUAUCCAGCUCAUGAUACCAAAGUCUCUUCCGUAAAUUCUCUUGUUUAUUUCCAUACCAUUUUCCUUUAAAUUUCUGAUCCUCUUUCCAGAAUACUAACCACAUACUAUUUAAGGAGACAUUUACAUCGUAAUAAUAAUUGGUCAUAGGGACAUGCACUACAUUUCUGACAUCAAGAAUAGAAAUAACUUUGUGUGAGGGAACCCACAUAAAGGCGAUUUUAGUUCCUUUAUUAUAAACGCCAUACUAAAUUUAAUACAAAAGAUAAUAUAAUUUGUUUUAAAAUUUAGAUUCACAAGUUUCAGACUAUUUAUAUGAUUUAAAUAGUCUGUUAAGAAAAGAAAAUAUUUACAAUUAUUUACACUACUAAUCAAUUUUAAAGCUUCAAAAACGGCAUAUGCCUCUGAUGUUAAAAUAGAACUCUGUUGAUGUAGAAUAAAGCUUUGAGCAAUACUCUUUUGGCGAUCAUAGACUGCACUUUUAACAUAGAAAAUCCAGCACAAAGUUAGAGAUUUCAGAAGAUUUCAGAAGAGACCUUUCAGAAGAUCAUAAGGUCAAUGUACCAUCUGCUCUAAUGAAAUGAGGUACACCGGCAUUCGUCGCAAACGAAUUCUAACAAGCACCAGUGGCCCCUUCACUUGUGUGGCUUGACGGAACACAGUGGGGUUUUAGUCCAUAGGAAUCCGGCAUAACCCACAACCCCUUCCCGGGUUCCGUGGGUAUCUAUGCAAGAUUUUUCCACUAUAAAAAAAGAUCACAUAAAAGAGAAAUGAAGCAGUCAGAACAACUUCCUCCACUAAAUCCAAAUUGAACAUGAGGGAUGAUGCUAUUAGAUUCCAAAUACCAGUCCAGGCGAGAUUUAACCAUGUUUUCAAAUAUCUUUCCAAGACAUGAUGAUAUUGAAAUUGGGCGAUGGGAACUACCCUGUUCAGGUGAUUUAUCUGGGUUUAAGUAUAGAAUGAAUAAAUUAAAACAUCAUGAACAUUGUUGAAGAGGGUGAACAUAGUCAAAAAUUCAACAAACUAAAAGAGAAAUCUAAUCUAAACUGCAAUAAUUUCAUAUUUGGAAGUUAAUUUUGUGAACAUUUGUUAUAUAAAUAUAAAUGCGACAAAUUAGAUGACAAAUCUAAUUAUACCAGUUUUUCAAUUUGGGCUGCUGGGAUAUAUGCUUUUAUAUCAUAUCUAUCCAGAAAUUUGUUGUUGUUUAGAAAAAUAUUGGCCGUGUUGUGCUGUUUGAAGACCACAACUAUUUUAUUGGGGCUAAUACGUCUCAGUGCCUCCACACCUUUAAUAUUAAAAAAAUAAAUGAUUGAAAUAAA